GACGAACGCUGGCGGCGUGCUUAACACAUGCAAGUCGAACGGAAAGGCCCUGCUUUUGUGGGGUGCUCGAGUGGCGAACGGGUGAGUAACACGUGAGUAACCUGCCCUUGACUUUGGGAUAACUUCAGGAAACUGGGGCUAAUACCGGAUAGGAGCUCCUGCUGCAUGGUGGGGGUUGGAACGUUUCGGCGGUUGGGGAUGGACUCGCGGCUUAUCAGCUUGUUGGUGGGGUAGUGGCUUACCAAGGCUUUGACGGGUAGCCGGCCUGAGAGGGUGACCGGCCACAUUGGGACUGAGAUACGGCCCAGACUCCUACGGGAGGCAGCAGUGUGGAAUAUUGCACAAUGGGCGGAAGCCUGAUGCAGCAACGCCGCGUGCGGGAUGACGGCCUUCGGGUUGUAAGCCGCUUUCGCCUGUGACGAAGCGUGAGUGACGGUAAUGUGUAAAGAAGCACCGGCUAACUACGUG
RNAcentral lists this ribosomal RNA (468 nucleotides) under uncultured bacterium. RNAcentral describes it as "partial 16S ribosomal RNA". It matches the Rfam family "Bacterial small subunit ribosomal RNA", at positions 28 to 507 of the family's 1533-position model. The record is from RNAcentral.